GAUUAAGAACGUAGCGAAAUGCGAUACGUAGUGUGAAUUGCAGAAUUCAGUGAAUCAUCGAAUCUUUGAACGCACAUUGCGCCCUUUGGUAUUCCAAAGGGCAUGCCUGUUCGAGCGUCAUUUGUACCUUCAAGCUUUGCUUGGUGUUGGGCGUUUUUUGUCUCCCUCUUUCUGGGAGACUCGCCUUAAAACGAUUGGCAGCCGGCCUACUGGUUUCGGAGCGCAGCACAUAUUUUGCGCUUUGUAUCAGGAGAAAAGGACGGUAAUCCAUCAAGACUCUACAUUUUUAACUUUUGACCUCGGAUCAGGUAGGGAUACCCGCUGAACUUAAGCAUAUCAAUAAGCGGAGGA
Molecule: unclassified non-coding RNA, 351 nt
Filed under: soil metagenome
Description: partial contains 5.8S ribosomal RNA, internal transcribed spacer 2, and large subunit ribosomal RNA
Rfam family: 5.8S ribosomal RNA (bases 1-120)
Source: RNAcentral